RNAcentral lists this ribosomal RNA (253 nucleotides) under uncultured bacterium. RNAcentral's name for it is "partial 16S ribosomal RNA". It matches the Rfam family "Bacterial small subunit ribosomal RNA", at positions 524 to 776 of the family's 1533-position model. RNAcentral also lists the same sequence under 1 other name. The record is from RNAcentral.
GACAGAGGGUGCAAACGUUGCUCGGAAUUACUGGGCGUAAAGCGCGUGUAGGCGGACUGGUGUGUCGGAUGUGAAAUCCCCAGGCUCAACCUGGGAACUGCAUUCGAAACUGCCAGCCUUGAGUGGUGGAGAGGGAAGUGGAAUUCCUGGUGUAGAGGUGAAAUUCGUAGAUAUCAGGAGGAACACCAGUGGCGAAGGCGGCUUCCUGGACACCAACUGACGCUGAGACGCGAAAGCGUGGGGAGCAAACAGG